RNAcentral lists this long non-coding RNA (1290 nucleotides) under Homo sapiens (human). RNAcentral describes it as "HSALNT0386055". Lineage: Eukaryota; Metazoa; Chordata; Mammalia; Primates; Hominidae. The record is from RNAcentral.
CAGAGGGCAUGGUACCGAAGAUCAGGAACAAAGGGCAUCUCCUAGGUGCUGAGAGAGAGCUUCCCAGAAGCAGACAUUGAACUUGACUCUCCAGAGGACUUCUUAUGGCUAGCUGGAGGAAGGAUGGCUUUUCUCUGAGAAAUGGAAUGAAUUAAAGCUCAUUUGGGAAAGUUUGCUAAGAAUGGGUUGCAAGGGUGGUGAAGCGUCUCAACACGGUUGCUUGAGAUUCCUGAUAGCAUGGUGGCUAGAUCCCAAAAAGGAGUGCUCCAAGAAGUAAAGAAGAUGAUUCACCUCAGACCAGCCUGGGCAACACGAUUCACCAUUACCUUUGGGGGCAUGUUUAAAAGAGAUGCUUUCAUGUCCAAGUCUGGAAAUCCCAGCAUCUGUCCUGUCUUCAGAUACAUUCUAUGAAUGUAAGAAGCAUGGUAAACAAAUGGCAUCAGACAAUACUUACUGGUGAUUGAAGAAACUGCCCAUGGGAUCAUAACAGAAGCCCCGGUGAUAGUCUUCUCAGAUUGAACCACAGCACUAAUGGAGAUUACCAAAAUUUAUAGGAUAAGAUUACUGAAAUUUCUAUGUUGUUUUAUCCCAUUGAAAUCAAUGGAAAGCAAAGGACAGGAAAGAGCCAAACAGACAAUUUUCCCCUCUCAUCUCUAUGAUAUGGUCCCUCCUUACAGUUCUUCUGGAAAAGUCCAGAGUGCCAAGCAAAUAUACUGACUCUGGGGUCCUGCUGUGCUGCAUCGUGGCUCAUUGUGAACCAGUGGUCAAUCCAGGAGGCCAUCUCCAUAGAUACUUUGCAUCAUUUCCUUUCCCUCCCCUUCACCACUGGGGACUUACACUUCCCAAAUAAAAUAUCAACAAUUCAAUCCAUAUCCCUGCAUUCUAGACGCUUAGCACACUCCCAUGACCCACAUGCUGGUGAGGAUGUUGAGUUCAUGUGAAGCCUUGGUAAUUUUGGUUGGAAACAUGUUUCUAGAAUCAAGGCAAUGUGGUUUGGUCAAAUUCAGAUGAGAUUGUGGAGCCGCGUGUCCUAGAUUCCAGCUUUGGCUCUAGACCUUAUAAACCAACCCUGUGGCCUUUUAUCUCUCUCAUCAGUCUAAUGGAAAUCAUAUUACCUGCCUUCCUUAUCUGGAAAUGUCAUCAUCAGGAUCAAGAGAGAUAAGGUUUGAGAAAGUAAUGUGUAAGCCAUUAAGUAGUACACAGAUGACCAUUACUGCUGUCAAACAGGAAUUUGAUGCAAUGAACUCUGUUCCCCUUUUCUGUCAAUACAAGUUCAGUGUUAAACAUUUA